CGCAAGGGGAGCGGCAGACGGGUGAGUAACGCGUGGGAAUCUACCCAGCUCUACGGAAUAACUCAGGGAAACUUGUGCUAAUACCGUAUACGUCCGAUAGGAGAAAGAUUUAUCGGAGUUGGAUGAGCCCGCGUUGGAUUAGCUAGUUGGUGGGGUAAUGGCCUACCAAGGCGACGAUCCAUAGCUGGUCUGAGAGGAUGAUCAGCCACACUGGGACUGAGACACGGCCCAGACUCCUACGGGAGGCAGCAGUGGGGAAUAUUGGACAAUGGGCGAAAGCCUGAUCCAGCCAUGCCGCGUGAGUGAUGAAGGCCCUAGGG
This 320-nucleotide ribosomal RNA is filed under the name uncultured bacterium. RNAcentral describes it as "bacterial SSU rRNA". It matches the Rfam family "Bacterial small subunit ribosomal RNA", at positions 85 to 422 of the family's 1533-position model. The record is from RNAcentral.